AUGGAUGCCUAUGCUUUCGCAUACUUGCCUCUGUUGCUGGAGGUAUAUCAUUCCAAUAUUCAUACUAUAGAAGUCGUUGUCAGGGAGUGCGAGAUGGACGGCGCAGUGUCCAGCGAUGGCAACAGCAUCACGGGAGCUGUGUUCACCCAGUUUGAGGUGACGUCGAGGAGAUGUCGACGAACUCCGUGGAUGAGCGGUGGUCAUGAGAGUUUGCCGAGGAAGGCCGACUCGAUCAUGGAGUUGCUAUCGCUGCAGAAGGCGACGCUAGCAACAGAGACAGCCAUCCAUUAG
This 291-nucleotide ribosomal RNA is filed under the name Triticum aestivum (bread wheat). RNAcentral describes it as "partial small subunit ribosomal RNA". The record is from RNAcentral. Lineage: Eukaryota; Viridiplantae; Streptophyta; Magnoliopsida; Poales; Poaceae.